This is a long non-coding RNA of Mya arenaria, 645 nucleotides long. RefSeq lists it as uncharacterized. The transcript has 5 exons. NCBI's taxonomy places the organism in Eukaryota, Metazoa, Mollusca, Bivalvia, Myida, Myidae. The record is from RefSeq and is a predicted model, not a curated record.
GUAAAUACGUGAAUACAGCCUAGGAUAAGGAGUUAGCAAAGAAAUGGCAGAAUUAAAGCUCAGUGUCUUGACAGUGGUGUACCUUGGUUUAUUAUGUGUGAUAACAUUUGGUACCGCGGACCAGAACAUGGAAUCUUCAAAUGCUUCUAAAGAAAACACAAUUAUAGCCUUACGAAAAGUGUGUGAAGAGUUGUGUUUUGAAGAGUCAGCUUAUUGUCCGAACGAAUGUCAGAUGGCGAUAUUACAACCCCUGGUUAGCAGUGACACUAUCCCGUCCUAUGACAAGGGAGCAUCACGGGGAAUAGACGGCCUUACAUUUGAUGACUAUUUGUUCUUGAGAUGGCUUGGCCGAGAUAUGAGCCGAAGGAGGAGAGUGUACAAGUAAACGAACCCAAUCAAGAGGAUUACUUUCUUUUCAGCAAGCAAAUAUAAAUGCGUCAUCAACUUCGAUAUGGAGUGUUUCCAAUCACCGAUACAUUAAAACACGGCGUGAUGAGCAAAUACAGGUUCAUUUGAUAAGCCUGGCAUCAAAGCAUAGCGAAGUCCUGCAUGAAGAGGAAUGAUUGUUUUAUGGUUUUCUAUGAUGAAUGUAUUCUUCACAGUUUGUAAACCAAUAAUGAACGCUGUUUAAGUGUUGUUCUUCUU